Molecule: RNA transcript, 1332 nt
Organism: Sesamum indicum (sesame)
Lineage: Eukaryota; Viridiplantae; Streptophyta; Magnoliopsida; Lamiales; Pedaliaceae
Source: RefSeq, a predicted model, not a curated record
ACUAUUCCCUCUUUCAUUCAACUUUUCCUCUCCUCCUCCCACCUCUCCACCCCCUUUUUCCCACUUUAUUCUUUCCUUAUGUCUCAACCUCCAUUUUACACACACCACACACACUCCCUCUCUCUCUGUGUUUACUUUUUCUACAUACAUAUCAGAAGGACACAAAGUGUGCCCUUUUCAAAGGCAAUCAUGUGUGUUUGGAUUGACAUCUUGUCCUCUUUUCCACACCCAAACUAGAAACUGGAGAGAAGAAGAAGAAGAGUGUCUACAAUCCUCAUGGGCAGAAGAACUAUCAUCACUUGUCUUUCAUUCAUUCAUCUUGCUGCUGUUCUAGGCCUACCAGGUUCAGUGGAAGCAACUAGUCACGUAAAGCUACCGCACCAUGACAACAGAACAAUUCAAGAAACUACCUUGAUUUCCACUAGGCAGAUGGAUGUCACAACCCCAAUGACAACAGUUCCAACAACUCUUCCCUCCACUCCAACUACAACAACUCCAAUGCUAAACCCGACGGAAUCUGACCCGGAUUCUCCAAGGAUCAUGAGUCCAGUUAUGACUCCACCAGCAGCAAACUCACCGGCCGGGAGCUGGUGUGUGGCCACCCAAUCUGCAUCGCAAAACGCAUUGCAGUUAGCGUUGGACUAUGCCUGCGGCCAUGGUGGGGCUGACUGCUCAGCCAUUCAGCCGGGCGGUAGCUGCUACAUGCCGGCCACGGUUCGUGAUCACGCCUCAUACGCCUUCAAUAGUUACUAUCAGAAGAAUCCAAUCCCUACCAGCUGCAAUUUUGGUGGCUCAGCGGUUACCACCAGCACGGAUCCCAGUUAUGGUACAUGCCAAUAUCCAUCCACUAGCACAACAUCAUCUGUGUUGAAUACGACGAAUUCAAGUGGAUCCCGGGUUUUCGGAGCUGGACCGCCGGUCACCCCUUCUCCUACAGCAGCUGCAAUGUCAAGUAGCAUUCCUUAUUUUCAACAUAUCUUGGUGCCUCUGAUCAUUAUAUUAGACAAUCCCAGAUGACAGAGAUUGAAUGUCUGGCUGUAUUCACAGUUCUUGGCUCUAAUUUUAUACACAAUGACACUUAUAUUGAGUGUGGAAAGAGCUUUUUAUUCACAAGAUUGUGAAGAGUUGAGUGUUGAGUGGCAUCGAACAGCCAUACAUGAACAGGGUUGAUAUCAAGUCGGCGCUGUUUGCAAGUGACAUCUUUCCAAUUGCAAAUCACCCCAAUGAAAUGUUUUAAGCGAUUGGAGCGGAUACGUGUUUGUUUAUAUCAAAUCAUUAUAAUCUCAAUCAUUACUUUCCCAAAUUAUAAUGGGCUCUUUAGAAAUUUGCAUA